UUAUGGGGAACCACUAGUAGAGGGUCAAUGAUAUUUGGUAUGCAGCUGUAUACACAUUAGCACAUCUCAUUACCAUGGAGAAUAUUUGGCCCUUCCCCUCUCGGUCAUGGUCUAUUGACUUUGAAACAUUUGCUUAGUUUAUAUGUAUUAGUUUGUGAUUAGAUCAGUUUUAAAUGAUAUUCGGUAUACAACUUUUUUGGCAUUUCCAUGUCUUAUUUCCAUGGAGAUUAUAAACCCCACUCCCCUCAUCAUGGUACAUUGACUUUGAAACUUUUACCUAGUUUAUAAGUUUAUGUUUGUGUUUUGGUUUGUUUUAAUAAAAUGUUCAACAUUUGCACUAUUAAAAUUACAAAAAGGCGAG
This 361-nucleotide long non-coding RNA is filed under the name Mytilus galloprovincialis (Mediterranean mussel). The record is from RNAcentral. Lineage: Eukaryota; Metazoa; Mollusca; Bivalvia; Mytilida; Mytilidae.